AAACUUUUAACAACGGAUCUCUUGGUUCGGGCAUCGAUGAAGAACGCAGCGAAAUGCGAUAAGUAAUGUGAAUUGCAGAACUCAGCGAAUCAUCGAAUCUUUGAACGCACAUUGCGCCCGGGAGUAUUCUCCCGGGCAUGCCUGUUCGAGCGUCAUUU
RNAcentral lists this ribosomal RNA (158 nucleotides) under Telimena engleri. RNAcentral's name for it is "5.8S ribosomal RNA". It matches the Rfam family "5.8S ribosomal RNA". Rfam says of the family: 5.8S ribosomal RNA (5.8S rRNA) is a component of the large subunit of the eukaryotic ribosome. It is transcribed by RNA polymerase I as part of the 45S precursor that also contains 18S and 28S rRNA. Lineage: Eukaryota; Fungi; Ascomycota; Sordariomycetes; Phyllachorales; Telimenaceae. The record is from RNAcentral.